Triplophysa dalaica is the source of this 1016-nucleotide long non-coding RNA. RefSeq lists it as uncharacterized. The record is from RefSeq and is a predicted model, not a curated record. NCBI's taxonomy places the organism in Eukaryota, Metazoa, Chordata, Actinopteri, Cypriniformes, Nemacheilidae. The transcript is spliced from 4 exons.
UCGGCGUUCAGAGUCGCGUUGUUGUUUGUUUGAAUACUUGUUAUAGAUUCGGCCGUAAAUCACCAAUUUUAUUCUAAUAACAUCUGCAAUUAUUCUGUUGGAUUAAUUUCAUGGUUAAUGGUGGAUCUUUUACAUUUGAAAAUUGAUGUUAUGUCUUAAAAUCAAUGGGGAUCUAAAGGCUAAAAUAUUUACGGAGUUGUGCUGUUGUUUCCAUAUACAAGCACGUCAUUAAUGCACUUUCAUUGUUUAUUUUGCUGUUGAAAUGUGUCGGCGAAUGUUUUUAAAUGUAUUUACAAUAAGUCAAGUGAAGUGUGCAUUACACAAGAUAAGAAGAACGUGUGAUGGAACCAGGCCCGGUUCCUGCAGGUGCAAAAGGGUGGGCUAGAUAUCAUGGGUCUGGCUGAUGUUGAAAGUGUCUCGGUAUUGAACUGCACUGAAAAUGAAAUAACAAUGGAAUGGAAUAAAGUGCACAACAUCAACAAUUAUGUUUAAGUGAUAUUGACUGAUAACAUAAAGAGUUUCAUCAGAGGGUCUGAUAACGUUUCCGUAGUCAGACAAACGGUUUCCUCUCUCUAUCCUGGACGGAUACACUACUUUAUGCUCCACGCUGUAUUAAACAGAGAAAUGAGUGCUGGAUAUCUUUUCCAUGCAGCUACAGCUCCCCAAAAUUUGAACGAUGUGACUGUACAACGUCGAAAGGAUACAAGUAUAACGCUGAAGUUCUGCGACACAAAGCGUGUCAUAGGAAACAGCCAUGUUUAUAAUCUAAAAUACGGAGAAAUCGAGGCUUAAUUAUUAUGGUGUCCUCGGUCAUUAUGGUCCAGAUACUGAAUAUCUCUUAGAUAAUUAUUUUGAGCAUUAUUAUGAAGACACGUAUACAGUAACAUCUCUCUCUCCUGGAACCAAAUACAACUUUACUCUCUACUCAGUUUUGAAUGGUGUGAGGAGCCGUGGAUAUCAGUUCACUGCCGAGACCAGCAAGUCAUAUUAUAAAUAUAUCCUCCACAUUUGUCAAG